Long non-coding RNA from Elaeis guineensis (African oil palm), 1165 nucleotides. RefSeq lists it as uncharacterized. The record is from RefSeq and is a predicted model, not a curated record. NCBI's taxonomy places the organism in Eukaryota, Viridiplantae, Streptophyta, Magnoliopsida, Arecales, Arecaceae.
ACCCUCAUUUCUGCCUUCAUUAGGGUUUUCCUUUUGAGCGGUGCCGUCGUUACUCCUGGUUCUUCGUCUUUUUUUUCCUCCUUGGGUUUUCUUCGCCGAUCCGGUCUAUGAAACGUCGAUCAGAUCUAUGGUUUCAUGGAUCUUUCGCCGGUGGUUUUUUUUAUUUUUCGUAUGAUUUCUCAGUCUUUCUUUGAUUAGGCUGUAGAUCUAUGGGUUAUGUUUUAGUUUGUGAUCGAUCUUUGAUGUUAUAGUUCUUUAUGUGAAUAUGGUAAUUUUUUUGCUUAUUUUUUGUUAUUAAAAUCUCAACUAAGACUUACUCUCAAACCAGAUGGGGUGGGCCAGAUAAACCAUUUUUCCUCCAUUCCGCUCCAAUUUGGAAAGAUGUAGAGAAAUUAUUUUUCGCAUCAAAUUAGAUUUCUCUUCGAUUUUUUCUCUUUUUGGUGGUUCUACGUUUUUGUAGCUUUUAUUCCUCCCUUUUCUUUUUUUUAAAUGUAUAUUGUUUAUAGCUAUUCUCACCUCUUAUAAAUGUUACUCUUUGAUCUACAAGGGUAGGUUGUUUUGUUGUUACGUUUCUCUCGAUUGGAUAUAUUGACUCUGUAAUUAUUUGUUUUAAUUUCUUUUUAGGCUCUUAAGUAAUUAUUUAUGAUUUUUGCUUUUUUUUCCCCUAAACUUCUUGACUUAAUACGGUUAUCGCGUGCUAUAUCCAUGAUUUUUUUUUUAGGUCUGCACGAUUUGUUUUUGUGUUGCUAUCCUAUUUCUAUCCGGUAUUUUGCAGCAGAUCUUCUGUCGAUGGAAAAGGCUUCGGACCCAGGAAGGUUCUAUCCUUGUCCUCGUUUCAGAUCUGAGGUCGUCAUCAGAUUUCUUCGUUAUCCAUGUUGAUCGGGCUUGCGCGACCGUGGCGAUCAUCUUCGACUUCUCUUCCUCCAAUCGGAUGUAAAAGAUGAGAUCCAAGGGAAGCUGGGAAGCUACGUGGAUGGGAGAAGGUAAGGGGGUUUAGGGGAGAAAAAAACUCCUCUUGGAUCCUAUCCUGUUGUCACACCGACCUUUGCCAUGUUGGGUGCGCUCGCAUGGCAGGUCACCGAACCCUAAUAAAAUUUUUAUGUUUUUUUGGUAGGGGAGAUCGCACGGGGUUGGUCUUUUUCCCCGGGUUCUCCCCUUUCUGCUC